UGGAGACCAAUUGUUCAAAUGCUUGCA
Molecule: non-coding RNA, 27 nt
Filed under: Rattus norvegicus (Norway rat)
Lineage: Eukaryota; Metazoa; Chordata; Mammalia; Rodentia; Muridae
Source: RNAcentral